This 2904-nucleotide ribosomal RNA is filed under the name Providencia sp. PROV188. RNAcentral's name for it is "23S ribosomal RNA". It matches the Rfam family "Bacterial large subunit ribosomal RNA". The record is from RNAcentral. Lineage: Bacteria; Pseudomonadati; Pseudomonadota; Gammaproteobacteria; Enterobacterales; Morganellaceae.
GGUUAAGCGACUAAGCGUACACGGUGGAUGCCUAGGCAAUCAGAGGCGAUGAAGGACGUGCUAAUCUGCGAUAAGCGUCGGUAAGGUGAUAUGAACCGUUAUAACCGACGAUUUCCGAAUGGGGAAACCCAGUGCAAUUCGUUGCACUAUCGUUUGAUGAAUACAUAGUCAAACGAAGCGAACCGAGGGAACUGAAACAUCUCAGUACCUCGAGGAAAAGAAAUCAACCGAGAUUCCCCUAGUAGCGGCGAGCGAACGGGGAGCAGCCCAGAGUCUUAAUCAGCAUUAGCAUCAGGAGAACGGUCUGGAAAGGCCGGCAGUAAAGGGUGAUAGCCCCGUAUCCGAAGGUGUUAGUGUUGUGAACUCGACGAGUAGGGCGGGACACGUGUUAUCCUGUCUGAAUAUGGGGGGACCAUCCUCCAAGGCUAAAUACUCCUGAUUGACCGAUAGUGAACCAGUACCGUGAGGGAAAGGCGAAAAGAACCCCGGCGAGGGGAGUGAAAUAGAACCUGAAACCGUGUACGUACAAGCAGUGGGAGCACUUUAUGGUGUGACUGCGUACCUUUUGUAUAAUGGGUCAGCGACUUAUAUUCUGUAGCAAGGUUAACCGUAUAGGGGAGCCGUAGGGAAACCGAGUCUUAACUGGGCGAAUGAGUUGCAGGGUAUAGACCCGAAACCCGGUGAUCUAGCCAUGGGCAGGUUGAAGGUUGGGUAACACUAACUGGAGGACCGAACCGACUAAUGUUGAAAAAUUAGCGGAUGACUUGUGGCUGGGGGUGAAAGGCCAAUCAAACCGGGAGAUAGCUGGUUUCCCCGAAAGCUAUUUAGGUAGCGCCUCGUGAACUCAUCUUCGGGGGUAGAGCACUGUUUCGACUAGGGGGUCAUCCCGACUUACCAACUCGAUGCAAACUACGAAUACCGAAGAAUGUUAUCACGGGAGACACACGGCGGGUGCUAACGUUCGUCGUGAAGAGGGAAACAACCCAGACCGCCAGCUAAGGUCCCAAAGUCAUAGUUAAGUGGGAAACGAAGUGGGAAGGCUCAGACAGCCAGGAUGUUGGCUUAGAAGCAGCCAUCAUUUAAAGAAAGCGUAAUAGCUCACUGGUCGAGUCGGCCUGCGCGGAAGAUGUAACGGGGCUAAACUAUGCACCGAAGCUGCGGCAGCGAUAUGUAAAUAUUGUUGGGUAGGGGAGCGUUCUGUAAGCCUGUGAAGGUGUACUGUGAGGUAUGCUGGAGGUAUCAGAAGUGCGAAUGCUGACAUAAGUAACGAUAAUGCGGGUGAAAAACCCGCACGCCGGAAGACCAAGGGUUCCUGUCCAACGUUAAUCGGGGCAGGGUGAGUCGACCCCUAAGGCGAGGCAGAAAUGCGUAGUCGAUGGGAAACGGGUUAAUAUUCCCGUACUGGUGAUAAUUGCGAUGGGGGGACGGAGAAGGUUAGGCUAGCCGGGCGACGGUUGUCCCGGUUUAAGGAUGUAGGCAGGUGAAUUAGGCAAAUCCGGUUCACUAUAUGCUGAGGUCUGAUGACGAGUCACUACGGUGGCGAAGUAGCUCAUACCCCGCUUCCAGGAAAAGCCUCUAAGCUCUAGAUUAUCAUUAAUCGUACCCCAAACCGACACAGGUGGUCAGGUAGAGAAUACUCAGGCGCUUGAGAGAACUCGGGUGAAGGAACUAGGCAAAAUGGUGCCGUAACUUCGGGAGAAGGCACGCUGGCAUUAGGUGAAGUGAUUUACUCAUGGAGCUGAAGCCAGUCGCAGAUACCAGCUGGCUGCAACUGUUUAUUAAAAACACAGCACUGUGCAAACACGAAAGUGGACGUAUACGGUGUGACGCCUGCCCGGUGCUGGAAGGUUAAUUGAUGGGGUUAUCCGUAAGGAGAAGCUCUUGAUCGAAGCCCCAGUAAACGGCGGCCGUAACUAUAACGGUCCUAAGGUAGCGAAAUUCCUUGUCGGGUAAGUUCCGACCUGCACGAAUGGCGUAAUGAUGGCCAGGCUGUCUCCACCCGAGACUCAGUGAAAUUGAACUCGCUGUGAAGAUGCAGUGUACCCGCGGCAAGACGGAAAGACCCCGUGAACCUUUACUAUAGCUUGACACUGAACAUUGAGCCUUGAUGUGUAGGAUAGGUGGGAGGCUUUGAAGCGUGGACGCCAGUCUGCGUGGAGCCAACCUUGAAAUACCACCCUUUAAUGUUUGAUGUUCUAACGUAGCCCCAUUAUCUGGGGUGCGGACAGUGUCUGGUGGGUAGUUUGACUGGGGCGGUCUCCUCCCAAAGAGUAACGGAGGAGCACGAAGGUUGGCUAAGCAUGGUCGGACAUCAUGCGGUUAGUGCAAAGGCAUAAGCCAGCUUGACUGCGAGAGUGACGGCUCGAGCAGGUACGAAAGUAGGUCUUAGUGAUCCGGUGGUUCUGUAUGGAAGGGCCAUCGCUCAACGGAUAAAAGGUACUCCGGGGAUAACAGGCUGAUACCGCCCAAGAGUUCAUAUCGACGGCGGUGUUUGGCACCUCGAUGUCGGCUCAUCACAUCCUGGGGCUGAAGUAGGUCCCAAGGGUACGGCUGUUCGCCGUUUAAAGUGGUACGCGAGCUGGGUUUAGAACGUCGUGAGACAGUUCGGUCCCUAUCUGCCGUGGGCGUUGGAAGAUUGAAAGGGGCUGCUCCUAGUACGAGAGGACCGGAGUGGACGCACCACUGGUGUUCGGGUUGUCAUGCCAAUGGCAUUGCCCGGUAGCUAAGUGCGGAAGAGAUAACCGCUGAAAGCAUCUAAGCGGGAAACUUGCCUUGAGAUGAGUCUUCCCUGACUCUUUAAGGGUCCUAAAGGAACGUUUAAGACUAAGACGUUGAUAGGUUGGGUGUGUAAGCGUAGCGAUACGUUGAGCUAACCAAUACUAAUGAACCGUGAGGCUUAACCUG